GAUGAACGCUGGCGGCGUGCCUAAUACAUGCAAGUCGAGCGAACGGACGAGAAGCUUGCUUCUCUGAUGUUAGCGGCGGACGGGUGAGUAACACGUGGAUAACCUACCUAUAAGACUGGGAUAACUUCGGGAAACCGGAGCUAAUACCGGAUAAUAUUUUGAACCGCAUGGUUCAAAAGUGAAAGACGGUCUUGCUGUCACUUAUAGAUGGAUCCGCGCUGCAUUAGCUAGUUGGUAAGGUAACGGCUUACCAAGGCAACGAUGCAUAGCCGACCUGAGAGGGUGAUCGGCCACACUGGAACUGAGACACGGUCCAGACUCCUACGGGAGGCGGCAGUAGGGAAUCUUCCGCAAUGGGCGAAAGCCUGACGGAGCAACGCCGCGUGAGUGAUGAAGGUCUUCGGAUCGUAAAACUCUGUUAUUAGGGAAGAACAUAUGUGUAAGUAACUGUGCACAUCUUGACGGUACCUAAUCAGAAAGCCACGGCUAACUACGUGCCAGCAGCCGCGGUAAUACGUAGGUGGCAAGCGUUAUCCGGAAUUAUUGGGCGUAAAGCGCGCGUAGGCGGUUUUUUAAGUCUGAUGUGAAAGCCCACGGCUCAACCGUGGAGGGUCAUUGGAAACUGGAAAACUUGAGUGCAGAAGAGGAAAGUGGAAUUCCAUGUGUAGCGGUGAAAUGCGCAGAGAUAUGGAGGAACACCAGUGGCGAAGGCGACUUUCUGGUCUGUAACUGACGCUGAUGUGCGAAAGCGUGGGGAUCAAACAGGAUUAGAUACCCUGGUAGUCCACGCCGUAAACGAUGAGUGCUAAGUGUUAGGGGGUUUCCGCCCCUUAGUGCUGCAGCUAACGCAUUAAGCACUCCGCCUGGGGAGUACGACCGCAAGGUUGAAACUCAAAGGAAUUGACGGGGACCCGCACAAGCGGUGGAGCAUGUGGUUUAAUUCGAAGCAACGCGAAGAACCUUACCAAAUCUUGACAUCCUUUGACAACUCUAGAGAUAGAGCUUUCCCCUUCGGGGGACAAAGUGACAGGUGGUGCAUGGUUGUCGUCAGCUCGUGUCGUGAGAUGUUGGGUUAAGUCCCGCAACGAGCGCAACCCUUAAGCUUAGUUGCCAUCAUUAAGUUGGGCACUCUAAGUUGACUGCCGGUGACAAACCGGAGGAAGGUGGGGAUGACGUCAAAUCAUCAUGCCCCUUAUGAUUUGGGCUACACACGUGCUACAAUGGACAAUACAAAGGGCAGCGAAACCGCGAGGUCAAGCAAAUCCCAUAAAGUUGUUCUCAGUUCGGAUUGUAGUCUGCAACUCGACUACAUGAAGCUGGAAUCGCUAGUAAUCGUAGAUCAGCAUGCUACGGUGAAUACGUUCCCGGGUCU
RNAcentral lists this ribosomal RNA (1372 nucleotides) under uncultured bacterium. RNAcentral describes it as "bacterial SSU rRNA". It matches the Rfam family "Bacterial small subunit ribosomal RNA", at positions 28 to 1381 of the family's 1533-position model. The record is from RNAcentral.